CGUAACAAGGUUUCCGUAGGUGACCUGCGGAAGGAUCAUUG
Molecule: ribosomal RNA, 41 nt
Filed under: Oncidium cheirophorum x Oncidium ornithorhynchum
Lineage: Eukaryota; Viridiplantae; Streptophyta; Magnoliopsida; Asparagales; Orchidaceae
Description: partial 18S ribosomal RNA
Source: RNAcentral